GCGGCCAUGGCGGAAUUGGUAGACGCGCUAGCUUGAGGUGCUAGUUGGGAAACUAGUGGAGGUUCGAGUCCUCUUGGCCGCACCA
Molecule: transfer RNA, 85 nt
Filed under: Allobosea sp.
Lineage: Bacteria; Pseudomonadati; Pseudomonadota; Alphaproteobacteria; Hyphomicrobiales; Alloboseaceae
Also listed under: 4 other names
Description: tRNA-Leu
Rfam family: tRNA
About the family: Transfer RNA (tRNA) molecules are approximately 80 nucleotides in length. Their secondary structure includes four short double-helical elements and three loops (D, anti-codon, and T loops).
Source: RNAcentral